CUUUGGGAUAACCCUCGGAAACGGGGGCUAAUACCGAAUACGACCUUCUGCCGCAUGGUGGGGGGUGGAAAGUUUUUCGGCCUGGGAUGGGCUCGCGGCCUAUCAGCUUGUUGGUGGGGUGAUGGCCUACCAAGGCGACGACGGGUAGCCGGCCUGAGAGGGCGACCGGCCACACUGGGACUGAGACACGGCCCAGACUCCUACGGGAGGCAGCAGAGGGGAAUAUUGCACAAUGGGCGGAAGCCUGAUGCAGCGACGCCGCGUGAGGGAUGACGGCCUUCGGGUUGUAAACCUCUUUCAGCAGGGACGAAGCGCAAGUGACGGUACCCGCAGAAGAAGCGCCGGCCAACUACAUGCCAGCAGCCGCGGUAAGACGUAGGGCGCGAGCGUUGUCCGGAUUUAUUGGGCGUAAAGAGAUCGUAGGCGGCUUGUCGCGUCGACCGCGAAAACUUGGGGCUCAACCCCAAGCCUGCGGUCGAUACGGGCAGGCUAGAGUUCGGUAGGGGAGACUGGAAUUCCUGGUGUAGCGGUGAAAUGCGCAGAUAUCAGGAGGAACACCGGUGGCGGAGGCGGGUCUCUGGGCCGAUACUGACGCUGAGGAGCGAAAGCGUGGGGAGCGAACAGGAUUAGAUACCCUGGUAGUCCACGCUGUAAACGUUGGGCGC
Molecule: ribosomal RNA, 665 nt
Filed under: uncultured Micromonosporaceae bacterium
Lineage: Bacteria; Bacillati; Actinomycetota; Actinomycetes; Micromonosporales; Micromonosporaceae
Description: bacterial SSU rRNA
Rfam family: Bacterial small subunit ribosomal RNA
Source: RNAcentral